UAGGCGUAAAUAGAUGCGAGUUAAGUGUGGGGGCGAUCUACGAGAUGGCCCUGUGCUGUAGGGUAGCCGUUAAACUCGCUGCCUGGGGAGUACGGUCGCAAGGCUGAAACUUAAAGGAAUUGGCGGGGGAGCACCACAACGGGUGGAGCUUGCGGUUUAAUUGGAUUCAACGCCGGAAAUCUUACCGGGACCGACAGCAACAUGAAGGCCAGGCUGAAGACUUUGCCGGAUUAGCUGAGAGGUGGUGCAUGGCGUAGUCGUGU
Molecule: ribosomal RNA, 263 nt
Filed under: uncultured archaeon
Lineage: Archaea
Description: partial 16S ribosomal RNA
Rfam family: Archaeal small subunit ribosomal RNA
Source: RNAcentral